This is a long non-coding RNA of Pan troglodytes (chimpanzee), 1945 nucleotides long. Lineage: Eukaryota; Metazoa; Chordata; Mammalia; Primates; Hominidae. The record is from Ensembl.
AAAUAAUUUACUUCAGCCAAUAGAGAAUGUGCUCUUCCUGAAGUGAAAGGACUUUUCUUCCAGAACUGAAGAGUCGCAUCGGAUUCAUCAGCUCCAGAGGGAAGAGGUGGCUGUGAUCCUGCUGGAGUCGGAGCAGCUCCAAUGGACACUCACAGAGAGAAGAAGGCUGAGACUGCGUGCAAACGAAGACUGGACUUACUCCUUGAGUGCAAAACACACAACAAAUGCUGAAGGCACUUCAAGCACUCGUGGUGCAAAGAUCGGGCAGAAAAAUUCAGAUGCAUCCUCACAAAAAUUAUGGCAGCAGCAAGUAAGAAGAUAAUGAUCCUGAGAAUCAGCACCCAAGACCAGCGGUCAGUCCAGCAGGAAAGAGAUAAAGGUGGCAUGGGACAAGCGCCACCCUCACCUCUGGGGACCAUCCCCCAGACACCAAGCAGGAAGACGAAGCUCAGGUCACAUUCAUCAUGGCUGAACUCCAGGUCACCUGUGGUGCAGAGAAAGUGGCUGGCUCAGAUGUCCAGGCCUGUGAGUAGGAACAAUGAUGGGACUUUCUCUGAAGCUUGCAUUGCACUUAUCCGCAGCGGGGAAGGGGUUGCGGAAUGACCUCUCUCCUUGUGAACUCCAGCAGAGCAGUUUUUCUGUGUGUUCGUUUUCUAUUUUUCUUGGUAUUGUUUUCUAAUUUUACAAAUUGAAAAUGAUAUAUGACCAAGUUUACUCUUCUCUCCUUGGAGACUGAAUAAUUUUUCAAAUCUUGACUGACCAUCUUCUCUUUCUCAUGGACGAAUCGUCCCUUCCUGGGUUUAGAAGUGCAGUGUUGUGUUGAGCAUAUGGACAUGACUGUGAGUCCCUGGCCGUCUUCUGUUUCUCGUGGAGGAAUUGUCUCUCCCUGUCUUUAGUACUGCAGUGCUGUGUUGAGCAGACAGUCAUGGCUGUGAGUCUCUGGGCUUGUGCCCUGGCCCAGUCAUUGCCUAGGCAACUCCCUCCCCACGGGCACCUGGCCUCUCUCCACUUUACUUUCUGAACCUGUAAAAUGGGUAGGAGGAUGGAGGAUGGUAGGUCCUACCUCAUAGAGCUCGCGAGAGGAUUGGUACAGAUGAAAGCACUCGGAACACUGGCUGCAAUAUGAUAGGUCCUCAUCCAAUGUUAAUUACCAUUAUAAUUAUAAGCGUCUUUUAAAAGUAUUUGUCAUAAUACCUUUUUAUGUGGAUGGAAAGAGUGAUAUAAAUUUUCACUGUCAUGAUGUGAACAGAACCUGGAGCACGCUUGGGUGGAGCCUGGAACUUUGGGUUAUUGAAGAGCCUGCUAGCACUAGUUCUAACAGCUGAGAUAUAGAAUCAGUCCAGGUGUCCAAUAAUACAUGAAUGGAUGAAGUAUCCAUGGAGAUACAUGAAUUGAAAAUGUAUAUACACAUACACUUUAAAAUUUGUGUAUACACAAUGGAAUACUAUUCAGCCAUAAAAAGAAUGAAAUCCUGUCAUUCAUGGCAAAAUGGUUGGAACUGGAGGACACCGUGUUCAGUAAAACGAGCCAGGAACACGAAGUUAAACGCCUCAUGUUCUCACUUAUUCGUGGAAGCUUAAAAAUGCUGAUCUCAUAGAAGUAAAAGGUAGAACAGAAGAUCCUAGAGGCUGGGAAGGAUUGGAGAAAGGGAGAGAUAGGGAGAGAUUUGUUAAAGAAUACAAAAUUACAGCUAGACAAGAGGAAUAAUUUCUAGUGUUCUAUACCACUGUAGGAUGACUACAGUUAACAAUAAUAUAUAGUUUUAAAUAACUAUAGGGAGGAUAUUGACAAGGAAAUAAUAAGUAUUUGAGAUGAUGGAGAUGCAAAUCACCCUGAUCUGAUCACUGUAAAACUUAUGUAUUAAAAUAUCCCUGUUUACCCCCAUGAAGGUGUACAAUUAUUAUGUGUCCAUGAAACAUAAAUAAAGUAAAUUUUUAAGACUCCA